GCCCAGAUGGUGGAAUGGGAGACACAAGGGACUUAAAAUCCCUCGCCAUAGGUGCGUACGAGUUCGAGUCUCGUUCUGGGUA
This 82-nucleotide transfer RNA is filed under the name Bacteriophage sp. RNAcentral's name for it is "tRNA-Leu". It matches the Rfam family "tRNA". Rfam says of the family: Transfer RNA (tRNA) molecules are approximately 80 nucleotides in length. The record is from RNAcentral.